CUCUCUCUCUCUCACUCUCUCUCUCACUCUCUCUCCCUCUCUCUCGCCCUCUCUCUCUCUCUUUUGCCCUCUGCUCCAGCUAUCUGAAAGCGUUGCAGGAAUUGAAAAGAGUCAUUGUUUACCAGGAAGCACAACUCCAUGACAACUGCACUUAGAGAGAGAGAAGUCUGUGAGGGGAGAAUAAGAGCAAAGUGUCCUCUGGAUCUUUUUCUACACAAAGCGUGGAAGUGAAGCCUCCAGCUGGACACGUGCAACGCUGACAUUGCAGCACAGGAGGGCUGUGCUGAGGAAGCAUCAGCAGGACUGUUCUCCCUCCCUCUUCCUCACCUCGAGGACCCCCCCCCCAUGUCUCUCCUCAUCAUGUCACAUUACAGGAAAUAUUGAACUCCUCCGAGAGACGGCCACCUCUCGACUCCGCUGCAGUCGUCUGUUUCCUGGUGACCGAGUCAAGGUCGGCAGGUCGAGGAGACGAGACGGAGCUGACGCUGUAAGAGCUAAACUUCAUCACACACUGAAGGUUUCUCCUCUUCUUCCUCCUGUGAGGACGAAAACAUCCAUAUCAAGACUUUCAAGUCGUUUAAAUCGAGUGCCAUCACUUAUUGUGCUGCUGAGAACUGAACCCCCACGUGAACCUCCGGCCUUUAACCUGCAGAAAUGAACAGACAUGUACGAGGUUCAAACACAGCUUUAUUAGCAUCGAGGCAAUUUGUUGAGUCCAGAAUACGUUCCCUCCUCUCUCACCCUGACAUGUGGACUUCCUCUUCUUCUUCAUCAUUAGUUACAGAGUCAUGUGUACAUUAUCAUACAAACGCUUGCGUGAGUGAAUUACAUGGAGUUGCUUCGCGGAGAACAGAUUUUUUUUGUUUUGUAGCAAUAAUGAAAUGGUCAAGCUCAACAUCAAGACGCACGUGUGUGAGUUCUUUGUUUUUCAUCAAACAUCAGUGACAGUGAAGGAAACCAUCUGUGCAAACAAUAAAAACAUUUUACAAGA
Molecule: non-coding RNA, 991 nt
Organism: Labrus bergylta (ballan wrasse)
Lineage: Eukaryota; Metazoa; Chordata; Actinopteri; Labriformes; Labridae
Source: RefSeq, a predicted model, not a curated record